GGGUUGGGGGGGGUUUGCUGGACGUGGUCCAUCAUGUGAUUUCAAUUCCAGAGUGGCCGGAGGUGACGACCACAGCAAAAGCAAGUGAGUGUGUGUUUGUGUCUCAUCUGGCCUCAUUAAAAAAAAGUCAGGUUGUUUUCCAUCUGAGGGUCAUCAGUUGUGGUUGUUAUAAAAGCCUGCGCAGGGGGAAGAGUGGAGGCCCUACGAGGCCACACGCUUGACGGUGUGUCUGUGUAAAUGUUUGUUGUACUGUACAACUAAGCAUGCACAGAGCAGGCAAGUUGUCCCUGUGUGUGUGUGUGUGUGUAUGUGUGUGCGUGUAAGGUUGAUGUUUAGUUGUGUGUUUUCCCUCCCGUGUGUAUGGAGAGCUCAUAAGGACGAUGCAGUGUGCAGGAAGCUCUGAUCCCAUCAGGCGUGUCAGCAGGGGCAUUUUUUCAUAAGGUGGUAAUCUCACCACACAAAGGGGUGUCCAAUAUUGGAGAGCCCCAUACCCCUGAGCUAAUCAAGACCUGACCAACCUCUCCCUCGGCUCGCCAACCCUCGAAACAUUACCUCAUCUGGAGGCUUAGCCGAGCCACAUGCUGCUUAGGCCUGCUGGUCUACAUGAUAACUCACUUAGAAGAAAGAAACAAAAAAAACGGAAAUAUAAGGAGGGAUAGAAAAGAAAUGGAACCAGAACAGCACACAACUACCUAUGGUGCCGGGUGCCAGGGAAAGGUAUUUUAAAAAGGGAGAGGAAAGAAAUAAUCAUUUUACUUUGUCCUCCAGAAACUUUGGGAAGUGAUUCACUGCUAUUCAGUUUCUCUCCCCGCCGUCCUGUUAUUGCUGUUUUCCCCUCAGCUCUUGGAGCCUUCGACCUCAAAGAGAGGUUCUUAGGUUCUGGCUUUGUGUCACUUGGAAACAGUGCUUUUGUUACCAAGGUAACAGGUCUGGGACAGUGAAACUUGGAAGUAGAGAGCACCUUUGUCCGUGACUGGAUGGAGAGGGACCAGAGAGCACGGCUUCAAGUCUUAAAGGCAUCCUGUGAGAAGAAACCAGUGAUCAAGAGAAGUUUCUUGAUACAAUAUCUACCUGUAACUUGUUAGCCAGUGAAAAGAAGAACACGGCUUUGCUUCUCCUUACCUGCCAGUUUCUGCAGAGCUCUACUGCAACCUUGGAUCACGGGUUGCGGUGUUGGCAGUGUGCUAGCAGUAGGUCCUCCACAGUGUGUAUACUGUGUGCGACCCGUCAUCACUGCUUACACAUACAUUCUCCCCGUUUUUUCAUCCGGCCCAUCAUCUCGUGAUCUCUUCGAAUUGAUUUAGCAACUUAACGGUUGGAGACGACUGCACUGUAACCCCAUCUGACCUGUGAAAACAGAUGAAGGAACUUUCACAAUGCAACGUAGAAAGAUAAAUACUCGCUGAUUGAUGCAAGUUUGGACAGAGCCAUUACAUCUGGUUUCUCUUUUUUUGUCAACUGUGUUUACUCUUGAAUGAGCGACUUUCUAAAUCAUUUUAUUUCCCCAUCUUUAAUCUUUUUCAGAUGAUCUCAGGUGAGCGCAGAAAACAGCCUGACUAAUGGAAACAUGAUCUCAAGAGAUUCCUUCAGGUAAGGAUGAGUGAUUUUGGUUUGAUCUUCGCUCAAGUGCGACAUGUGAUCACACACACACACACACACACACACAGCGCUGCCUUAUUAUAAACUGUAAGUUGCUAUUAACAACCGAGUAUGGAACAGCCACCGAUCAAAAAGAUAGCAGUGGUUCACAAAUAUGUGGGACGUGCUGAUGGUGGUGGCACUGGCGUUUUCUUUCUUUUUGGGGGGAUUGUGUAACUCAAGUCGUGACAGCGCGGUAAAGAAUGCAGUGGCAUAGAGAUAUCACUUCAAACACCGCGUCUCUCAGGAGCCUCAGAUCCCUUCGGUGGACAUGAAUGAAAAUAUGCUUUGAUGGCCCCACCGCAGAGUCGGUGCCCUUCAAAGAAACCUGUUGAUGGGCCGGCGCGGGGCAGCCAGCAGGCUGAAUGCAUGGUACUGUAUACGUGUGCCUCUCGGGGGCAGCCGUGGGUGUUCCCGAUGGAGGUCAAACUUGCUCGACCCUAACAUGAGUAGGUUUUUUUUUUACAGAUUUUUGGCUUGCAUUGUGUCUUUUUUUUAUUCAGGGUCCCUCUGUAAUUGAGGGGUAACUGUGUGCGGAUGUGUGAGUGAGUGGCAGGGGGCCAGCAGACAGGUACAGCGAAUGUGCUGAUGAGAGAGGGCGAUAUGGGGCUGGUCUCAGACACAGGCCCGCGGCACAGACCGGCGCACACGGGCAGGCUGAGACUCAUAGGCAGGUUAGGACCCGGUUGUGUGUGCUGAUGCUGCUCCGCUGGCUCUGCUCCAAGGUGAGGCAUAGGAGAGAAACGUGGGAAGGGAAAUAAAACUGAAUACAGGGUAAAAGGGAACGAUAGAGAAAAUCCGGUGAAAGGAUGAUUGUUGAGUUGUGGAGCUGAGAGAGAGAGAGAGAGAGAGAGAGAGAGAGCACGCAACCCGAAAGAGGAGGAUGUAUAAUAACAGAGAGUGACAACAAGCAAUAAAGAGUGGUUGUGGCGGAGGUUGGAGAGGGAGAGAUGAUGAUGAUGAUGAUGUGUGAGGGCCGGGCGAUGAAGAGGGAACUGAAAGGAGGAGCGAGAUGAAGAAAAAGCCAUGCGAGUUAAGCCCCAUCCUGUACACCGGUGGGACGUGACUCCUCGCAGGAUCAUACUUAAUCCUGGUUUGGACUGUGGACAUAGCAUCGCCUGCAGCAGAUGUUUGCUCCUGGCAUGGCUGCAAACUGCAUGAGCUCCAUCACCGACAAUCCAGUUCUCGGGAUGCAUCGCCAGCAGCUUGGACACGGAGAAGCUGUGACACAAACUCAGCAGGACAGUGGAGUGUAUUCUGCUGCUCGGAUAUUAUGGAACAGACCGGUCAACCUCGUCUGGAGAGGCACUCGAUAGGAAAAUCAGCUCUAUGAGGCUACGAUUACCGCGGUUACCACAAUGGAUCUACACAUUGUUUGACUUUUUCUAAAUUGAACCUGGAUUAAUAUUUCCCUGUAUAUACAUCUGCUUUUGAUAUUCAGUGUUUAUUCCCGCUGUUGCUCAUUCCCUGCACUUAUAUACUGUGUUAUUCUGGAUACAGUAUCAACAAAUGCUGGAACAGUAAACGGAAAAUAAUCAGCUGUUAUUUCCUCUUUAGGUCUAUUAUUUUUACAGGAGGAAGGCAGCACUUACACCAAUCUCGUAAGGAGCAAACUAAAUGUUUUCCUGUUGAAUUAAUUAACACACAUAGGAAUUGUCACAGGGAUUACUCAAUUAAUAAACAUUCAACAUCUUCCAAUUAAGAAAAGAUAAUCCUUUAUUAGUCCAGCAGCAGGGAAAUUACAACAAUUGCCUUCACAAUGAAGCCAUUGAACCAAAGGUGCUUAUGAAUACAACUAUUGACAACUCUUUGGGAGUCUUGUUCAUUCUGGUUGAGGAAUCUUUUCCAACUCUUUGAUCUGAUAAAGACGUAUUGCUUCAUCGGACUUGUCUGUGUAACCCUCGAACAGAAAUAAAAAAGAAAAGGUGUAAUCAA
Gasterosteus aculeatus aculeatus (three-spined stickleback) is the source of this 3573-nucleotide long non-coding RNA. Lineage: Eukaryota; Metazoa; Chordata; Actinopteri; Perciformes; Gasterosteidae. The record is from Ensembl.